CAUAUCAAUAAGCGGAGGAAAAGAAACUAACAAGGAUUCCCCUAGUAACUGCGAGUGAAGCGGGAAAAGCUCAAAUUUAAAAUCUGGCAGCCUUUGGUUGUCCGAGUUGUAAUCUAGAGAAGUGUUAUCCGCGCUGGACCGUGUACAAGUCUCCUGGAAUGGAGCGUCAUAGAGGGUGAGAAUCCCGUCUUUGACACGGACUGCCAGGGCUUUGUGAUGCGCUCUCAAAGAGUCGAGUUGUUUGGGAAUGCAGCUCAAAAUGGGUGGUAAAUUCCAUCUAAAGCUAAAUAUUGGCGAGAGACCGAUAGCGAACAAGUACCGUGAGGGAAAGAUGAAAAGAACUUUGGAAAGAGAGUUAAACAGUACGUGAAAUUGCUGAAAGGGAAACGCUUGAAGUCAGUCGCGUUGUUUGGGAAUCAACCUUGCUUUUGCUGGGCGUACUUUCCAGAUGACGGGCCAGCAUCAAUUUUGACCGUUGGAUAAAGGCUGGAGGAAUGUGGCAUCUUCGGAUGUGUUAUAACCUCUGGUCGCAUACAACGGUUGGGAUUGAGGAACUCAGCACGCCGCAAGGCCGGGUACUUGUACCACGUUCGUGCUUAGGAUGCUGGCAUAAUGGCUUUAAUCGACCCGUCUUGAAACACGGACCAAGGAGUCUAACAUGCCUGCGAGUAUUUGGGUGGAAAACCCGAGUGCGUAAUGAAAGUGAAAGUUGAGAUCCCUGUCGCGGGGAGCAUCGACGCCCGGACCAGACCUUUUGUGACGGAUCUGCGGUAAAGCAUGUAUGUUGGGACCCGAAAGAUGGUGAACUAUGCCUGAAUAGGGUGAAGCCAGAGGAAACUCUGGUGGAGGCUCGUAGCGAUUCUGACGUGCAAAUCGAUCGUCAAAUUUGGGUAUAGGGGCGAAAGACUAAU
RNAcentral lists this ribosomal RNA (911 nucleotides) under Pholiota lubrica. RNAcentral's name for it is "partial large subunit ribosomal RNA". It matches the Rfam family "Eukaryotic large subunit ribosomal RNA", at positions 39 to 935 of the family's 3401-position model. Lineage: Eukaryota; Fungi; Basidiomycota; Agaricomycetes; Agaricales; Strophariaceae. The record is from RNAcentral.